This 813-nucleotide ribosomal RNA is filed under the name uncultured bacterium. RNAcentral's name for it is "bacterial SSU rRNA". It matches the Rfam family "Bacterial small subunit ribosomal RNA", at positions 104 to 909 of the family's 1533-position model. The record is from RNAcentral.
GGGUGAGUAAUAGGUAGGUAACCUACCUCAUACUGAGGCAUAGCUGGGAGAAAUUCCAGGUAAUUCCUCAUGAGGUUAUAUGACACAUGUGAUAUAAUCAAAGGUAUCGCAAGGUACUGGUAUGAGAUGGGCUUACUGACCAUUAGCUAGUUGGUGAGAUAAGAGCUCACCAAGGCGAAGAUGGUUAGGGGUUUUGAGAGAGAGAUCCCCCACAUUGGAACUGAGAUACGGUCCAGACUCCUACGGGAGGCAGCAGUAGGGAAUAUUGGGCAAUGGGCGGAAGCCUGACCCAGCCAUGCCGCGUGAAGGAAGACGGCCUUAUGGGUUGUAAACUUCUUUACUAUGCGACUAACUAGAUUUACGAGAUAAUUCUAUAGAAUGUAGCAUAGCAAAAAGCACCGGCUAACUCCGUGCCAGCAGCCGCGGUAAUACGGAGGGUGCGAGCGUUAUUCGGAAUUACUGGGUUUAAAGGGUGCGUAGGCGGCUAAGUAAGUUGUCAUUGAAAGGCUACAGCUCAACUGUAGUAGUGGUGGCGAUACUGCUUAGCUAAGAACAUGGGAGGGGUACUUGGAAUGUGUGGUGUAGCGGUGAAAUGCGUAGAUAUCACACAGAACACCAGAGGCGAAGGCGGAGUACUAGACCAUAGUUGACGCUGAGGCACGAAAGCGUGGGGAUCAAACAGGAUUAGAUACCCUGGUAGUCCACGCCCUAAACGAUGAUCACUAGAUAUUGGCGACAAACAGUCAGUGUCCAAGCGAAAGUGAUAAGUGAUCCACCUGGGGACUACGGCCGCAAGGUUAAAACUCAAAGGAA